This 280-nucleotide unclassified non-coding RNA is filed under the name Thanatephorus cucumeris. Its description in RNAcentral is "partial ITS2". Lineage: Eukaryota; Fungi; Basidiomycota; Agaricomycetes; Cantharellales; Ceratobasidiaceae. The record is from RNAcentral.
GAAAUCUUCAAAGUAAACCUUUUGUUAAUUCAAUCGGUCUCUUACUUUGGUUUUGGAGGUCUUUGCAGUUUCACACCCUGCUCCUCUUUGUUUAUUAGCUGGAUCUCUAAGUGUUACGCUUGGUUCCACUCGGCGUGAUAAGUUAUCUAUCGCUGAGGACACUGUAAAAAGGUGGCCAAGGUAAAUGCAAGACGAACCGCUUCUAAUAGUCCAUUGACUUGGACAAAAUACAUUUUUAUGAUCUGAUCUCAAAUCAGGUAGGACUACCCGCUGAACUUAA